GGAGAGUGAGUGAAAGGUUGUCAGGUGUUUGUGUGCAGAGGUAUUGAAGGCUAUGAAAUAUUUACCAAAGCAAUAAUGACUCCCCGGACAGAGCAUGAGAGGAGAGGAACGAGGGAGAGGAGAAGAAAGGGAGAACUGCCACCUUUCACAGGAAAAGAGAGAAGAACAAAGAGGAAGUAAGAUUGGUGAGUUGUCUUUUACUAGGGGUCUCUCUCUCAACAACAACAACAACAAUAAAAAAUAUUACAAGUAAAAAAUAAUAAUAAUAACAUAACAACAAUAAUGAUUUUGGGGUAAAUACACUGGGAGUCUCCUAAUGUGUGUGCGUGCUCUAAAGCAAUAUUUGGAGAUAUCAUCUGACGCUUAACGGAGAGAAAGACAACGGAAGAGCUGACUGAACUCUGUCUCUCUUUUCUUUUCACACACAGACUGUAAUACAAUAAUCCUGUUGUUUCAUGCUGACUAACUUCAAGGCCUGGACCCCGGUGUGUGUUCUUUUAAGUGCAAGCGUAAUAUUUAGCUUUGAGGUCACGCCUGCAAUGCAUGCUGGGGGACAGACUGAGCCGGAAGCAGGAGAGAGGAAGGAAGAAUUACCACUGAGCUGCUCUGAACACAUACAUACGCUGCACCCUGGGAUCCACGGAGGGGCUCUCAGACUUGUUACACAGCUACUGCUGUCUGACAAAUGACCAAACACAACCUUUAGAGCUGACCUACACAAGCCGAGGAGGGGCGCAAGGUUGGCUGAUGUCAAAAGAAAAACAAUGAGUGGAACAAAAUCGAUGAAACUAGUGCAACCAUCACUCCACCAACGAGGGACGUUAAACAACGACUGCGCUGCUGGGCAAUUACCAUGAUUGGAGUGAGAGCGUAUGUGUAUUUGUGUGUUAGUCCCUCAGGUAUUCUCCAAGCCACUUUUGAUUAGCACAUAUGCUUAAACCGAUACGAAGUGACUGUGUAUCUGCGUGUGUGUGUUUAUGUGCAAGGCUGUCUUCAUUACCAUGUGUGCUUUUACGGACGAGGGUUGAUCAGUCAAUGCUGUGCACUUUAUUUAUGAGUAAAAGGAGACAGAUGGAGCGGGGCGAGGUAUUGAUGAGCCAUUGCCUUUAAACAGGAAUCAAUAGGCAGGGAGGGGCUGAAUGACACACACAUUAACUCUGUAAUAUGAGGGGAUAUGAAAUCACUGAUCUCACUUGCUAGGGGCUUAGCCUGUCCUGUCUCUCUUAUCUCCCUCCUUCUAUUGCCAUUCGUGGCUUAAGUAAAAUAGGGGUGCAAGGUUGAGAUUAAACAGUGGAGGAACGUGCUAAUCAAGGCUAUUCAUUAGCAGAAAGGUGUGCUAGCAUUAUGAGUGUCAGUGACGGGAUUUCACCCCCACACAAAAUAUGAACUAAAGUUAUUAAAACUGUUUUCAUUAAAUUAACAAAGUAUAAGUAUUAUAAAAGUGAAUAUAAGCAUUUUUUAAAAUUCUUAAAAAAAUAAAUAAAUAAAUAACUGAAAUAGGCUAAAGUAC
Molecule: long non-coding RNA, 1510 nt
Organism: Cyprinus carpio (common carp)
Lineage: Eukaryota; Metazoa; Chordata; Actinopteri; Cypriniformes; Cyprinidae
Source: Ensembl